This 872-nucleotide unclassified non-coding RNA is filed under the name Hevea brasiliensis (rubber tree). The record is from RNAcentral. Lineage: Eukaryota; Viridiplantae; Streptophyta; Magnoliopsida; Malpighiales; Euphorbiaceae.
UUUAUUUACAAAUUAAUUCUAUUAACAAAAUUCAUCAAAUCAAAUGAAUUUCGAAAUAUGAUUUAUGCAAGUUCUGCAUCUUUACUGUGUGGACGGGAUAUGAUUGUGCUAAACUGGUCAACUAGCAAAUGUGUCUAGGUGAGUAGUUUUACCUGUAAUCACUAUAUUUCUGGUUGAAUUCUAACAUAAAAAUUCUCGAUUUCAAUUUGAGUUUCAAUAAGGUCUCUAUUGACUUAUUAUGGUAAAAAUUUGGAUUUAUUUUUUCAGUGAUGGCCAAGUAAGACAGCUGUAGGAUCCUUCUUCAUCCUUACAAAAAAAUGAAAAAUAUUUUACUUGGCUGACAUAUCAGAAAUUUGGUAGAAGUGACCUUAUUGAAAUACAAUUUGAAGUUAAGUGAUUGUGUUGAAAAUUUGAAAUUUAGUGACUAAUAAUUAAAUUUAAGUGUAAAAUAGCCGUACUAUUUAAAUCCUAUCCUUGAAUGGUAAGCUUCAAGAAGUUAGUUAUUACUGAAAUUUGGAAAGCAGUUGAUAAUGCAUUUAAUAGUGAAGUGAAUGUGAACAUUUACCGUGUAUAGUUUGAACACUUCAUUGAAUUAAAAUUGUGGCAAUCUUCUCUUGUGGUCUUUUGUUAUCAACUUGUCAUGUCUAAUGACCGUUUUAAUGUUCGAGAGCAUCUUUAGAUGGUUUUGGCAUUGUGCCAUUUUUCAUUUGUUUAAGUUUCCAAUAUUGGCAUAAUGCGUGCAGAUAGUUAUUGAUUCUUGCUGUGCUACAUUUGCUGAAAUUCAAAAGAGGGGUAAAGACUUUUGGGCAGAGUUUGAACUGUAUGUUGCAGACCUUUUGGUUGGUGUGGUGGUAAACGUUGCUUUGGUUAGC